GAGCAAUACAGCCUCUUCCCUUUCCUCAUCGUAGCUACCCAGGAAGGCAUCGAGCUUGAGGAAGAGGCCCCAUUCAUCUCCGUACCCCAGGCCCUGGUACACAGCAGGCAGAUAAACCUGCCAGUAAUUUCAGCAAAUGAAACGUGGAACACGUCAAGGCCAGAGGAUGGAAAAGGCUCCAGUUUUGAUAAAAGGAGGCCUGCUUGGCUUGGAAUCCUCUCUCCUGCUGGUUGGGAGAUGCAAAGAUGUUUCCAGAGAGGGGCUGAUGAAUUGAGGGGAAAGAAAUGAGCCCAGUAUGAGUCCCCUUUCAGGGCUGAGCGUGUAUAAAACCAAACAACUUGGAACCGCUCCAAGAGAGGGGAUUAAAGCAACAUGUUAUUCUGAGUGA
RNAcentral lists this long non-coding RNA (388 nucleotides) under Homo sapiens (human). RNAcentral describes it as "HSALNT0384679". The record is from RNAcentral. Lineage: Eukaryota; Metazoa; Chordata; Mammalia; Primates; Hominidae.